Long non-coding RNA from Zalophus californianus (California sea lion), 1152 nucleotides. RefSeq lists it as uncharacterized. NCBI's taxonomy places the organism in Eukaryota, Metazoa, Chordata, Mammalia, Carnivora, Otariidae. The transcript is spliced from 5 exons. The record is from RefSeq and is a predicted model, not a curated record.
CAAUCUACUGGGGUAAACUUCCUGGAUGAAAACCUGCUUCACUGAUAUAUAGGUGCAUCUACAUGCCACAUACUUUCUUCAGUCUAGAAGCAGAUUGAAGAAACACCUGUGUUUGUGACAAGUCAUUCCGACACCAGAGGGAAAAAACAAGAGAGCGUAUGGAACCUCUCAAUGUUUCUUAAAGCUUCUAUUCGGAUCUUGCCUACCUUGUACUUCUGAUUCAUCAUCAGUCCAAAGACAAUUCACAGCCAAGCCUAAUGCCCAUGGCAUAGGGAAGCACAGAGAGUCACAUACGGGCAGGGUCUGGCCUCCUUCCUCAGGUUUACCUCACGAUCCAAGAUGAUUGAAAGUCAUCACAUCAACGUAGCAAUUUGGAAAAUGGAAGAACAAAAACAGCAAAAAGUUUUAAUCUGGUAGAGUUAGCAAUUUUAAAGCAGAUGCUUUGGAAAUGUCACACAUAACCACCUGCAUCUCACUAGUAAAAAAAAAAAAAAAAAAAAAAAUUACUCCUAGUUUCAAGAAAAACUAAAAAAUUCAUCUUUAUUCCAAAAAUCAAUAAGGCCAGUUUAUGAAUUUUUAGUAGUAAAUUAGCAGCCACCGACACAGAGGACAUGUGAGAUAGAAUUACAAAACUGAAGUGUUAAAACUUUGAAUAAGAAUCACUUGAACUCUGGAUUCCUUUGUUAUUUUGUGUAGCACAGAAACUGUGCUUUCUCCACGAUGCUUUCUCCACUGUGCUUUCUCCACGAUGAUAGAGCUUGGAAUGUUUAUUCUACAAAGAUUCUGAAAAUCAGAUUUUCUACAACAUGGACACCAAUCAGACAUGAGAACUCCUGCACACUGACACAAGCAGCAGGAUUGAAUGAAAGCCUACAAAUAGAACACUGGGGUGGGAGGAGUGAAGAACUAAAGAGAAUGUAGACACAGCUGACAUACUGAGAGAUCUAUGAGAAAAAGCUCUGUGCUUCAUGUCCCAGUUUUGAAUUCCAAGAGGAGGAGGACAUUAUACUGGUCCACUACCGUGAUGGAAUCAUGCUCAUGGGAACCUCGAAGAAGGAAAUGACUUAUAUUUGGUAGAGAUCCUAGUAAGAUGCAUUUGCUAGAGAUGGAAAACUGUUCUUGGCUUGCUAUCAGACACUAGCGGAGACCAUA